This 505-nucleotide ribosomal RNA is filed under the name uncultured bacterium. Its description in RNAcentral is "partial 16S ribosomal RNA". It matches the Rfam family "Bacterial small subunit ribosomal RNA", at positions 28 to 507 of the family's 1533-position model. The record is from RNAcentral.
GACGAACGCUGGCGGCGUGCUUAAUACAUGCAAGUCGAACGCAAAGUUUCUACUGUCGCUUGCUACACCAUAGAAAGUGAGUUGUGAAAGGGUGAGUAACGCGUCGGUAACCUGCCUGGUAGCGGGGGAAAACUAUUGGAAACGAUAGAUAAUACCGCAUAAUAUUGAUUGUUGGAUGGUUAUUGAUUUAAAGGAGCAAUUGCCUCCCUACCAGCUGGACCUGCGGUGUAUUAGCUAGUAGGGGAGGUAACGGCUCACCUAGGCGACGAUACGUAGACGACCUGAGAGGGGGGUCGGCCGCCCUGGGAGGGAGACAGGGCCCAUGCGCCUGCGGGAGGCAGCAGUAGCGAACCUGCGGCAAUGGACGGAAGUCUGACCGAGCAACGCCGCGUCAGUGAAGAAGGUUCUCGGAUCGUAAAGCUCUGUUGUGAGUGAAGAACGGGUUUGAGAGUGGAAAGUGCACACUGUGACGGUAUCUAACCAGAAAGCGACGGCUAACUACGUG